AGUGAACGCUGGCGGUAGGCCUAACACAUGCAAGUCGAACGGCAGCACAGUAAGAGCUUGCUCUUACGGGUGGCGAGUGGCGGACGGGCGAGGAAUACAUCGGAAUCUACUUUUUCGUGGGGGAUAACGUAGGGAAACUUACGCUAAUACCGCAUACGACCUACGGGUGAAAGCAGGGGAUCUUCGGACCUUGCGCGAUUGAAUGAGCCGAUGUCGGAUUAGCUAGUUGGCGGGGUAAAGGCCCACCAAGGCGACGAUCCGUAGCUGGUCUGAGAGGAUGAUCAGCCACACUGGAACUGAGACACGGUCCAGACUCCUACGGGAGGCAGCAGUGGGGAAUAUUGGACAAUGGGCGCAAGCCUGAUCCAGCCAUACCGCGUGGGUGAAGAAGGCCUUCGGGUUGUAAAGCCCUUUUGUUGGGAAAGAAAAGCAGCAGGUUAAUACCCCGCUGUUCUGACGGUACCCAAAGAACAAGCACCGGCUAACUUCGUG
This 492-nucleotide ribosomal RNA is filed under the name uncultured bacterium. Its description in RNAcentral is "partial 16S ribosomal RNA". It matches the Rfam family "Bacterial small subunit ribosomal RNA", at positions 29 to 507 of the family's 1533-position model. The record is from RNAcentral.